RNA transcript from Zonotrichia leucophrys gambelii, 2197 nucleotides. It is a transcript of the gene named syntaxin 3, with no coding region annotated. The record is from RefSeq and is a predicted model, not a curated record. Lineage: Eukaryota; Metazoa; Chordata; Aves; Passeriformes; Passerellidae. The transcript has 9 exons.
GCCACAGGCACAGGGGACAGGGCCAUCCGGCACCUCGCCUGGAUGUAGGAGGCCCGGCCGAGCGGCGAGGACCGAGGGUGACACCGCCCAUCCCUGCGCUGGGCGAGCACGGGGACCCCCCCGCGCCCCCCCAGCCUCCGGGGGCACCAUGAAGGACCGGCUGGAGCAGCUCAAGGCGAAGCAGGAUGCAGACGAUGAGGAGGAGCUGGAGAUCGCCGUGGACAACACGGCCUUCAUGGAUGAGUUCUUCUCGGAGAUUGAGGAGACCCGGCAGAACAUUGACAAGAUCUCGGAGAAUGUGGAGGAAGCCAAGAAGCUCUACAGCAUCAUCCUCUCAGCACCCAUCCCAGAGCAGAAGACCAAAGAUGAUCUGGAGCAGCUGACGACAGACAUCAAGAAAAUGGCCAACAGCGUCCGUAACAAGCUGAAGAGCAUGGAGAGGAACAUCGAGCAGGACGAGGCACGAUCCUCAGCUGACCUCCGGAUACGCAAGUCCCAGCACUCAGUGCUGUCCCGCAAGUUCGUGGAUGUCAUGACCAAGUACAACGAGGCGCAGGUGGAUUUCCGGGAGCGGAGCAAGGGCCGGAUCCAGCGCCAGCUGGAAAUCACCGGCAAGAACACCACGGACGAGGAGCUGGAGGAGAUGCUGGAGAGUGGGAACCCCUCCAUCUUCACCUCGGGGAUCAUGGACUCGCAGAUCUCGAAGCAGGCGCUGAGCGAGAUCGAGGGCCGGCACAAGGACAUCGUGCGCCUGGAGAGCAGCAUCAAGGAGCUCCACGACAUGUUCGUGGACAUCGCCAUGCUGGUGGAGAACCAGGUACGGGGACACGAGGGGCCUGGCCAUGGGGACACGGGGACAUGCAGGGACCUGGCCAUGAGGACACGGGGACAUGCAGGGACCUGGCCACAGGAACACGGGGACAUGCAAGGAACCUGGCCAUGGGGACAUAGAGACACACAGGGACCCCAGGGACAUGCAGGGACCUGGCCACUGGGACAUGGGGACAUGCAGUGAUCCAGCCAUGGGGACACAGGGACACACAGGGACCUGACCACGGGGACAGGCAGGGACCUGGGUAUGGGGACACAGGGACAGGCAGGGACCCGGCCAUGGGGACUCAGGGACACGCAGGGACCUGGCCACAGAGACAUAGGGACAUGCAGCAACCCGGCCGUGGGGACAUUGGGACAAGUGGAGACCUGGCCACGGGAACACAGAGACAGGCAGGGACCUGGCCAUAGAGACACAGGGACACGCAGGGACCUGGGUAUGGGGACACAGAGACACGCAGUGAUCCGGGUGUGGGGACACAAGAACAAGCGGAGACCUGGGCAUGGGGACAUGGGGACAGGCAGGGACCUGGGUAUGGGGACACAGAGACUUGCAAGGACCUGGGCAUGGGAACACAGGGACACACAGGGACCUGGCCACAGGAACAUGGGGACGCGCACGGACCCAGCCAUGGGGACACAGGGACAAGCAGAGACCUGGGUAUGGGGACACAGAGAUAAGCAGGGACCUGUGGGCAGUGUGAACAGGGACCUGAGCAUAGGGACAAGCAGGAACCUGGCAAUGGAUGACCCCAUUGUGUAUGGGGACAUGGACAUGAGCCAUGAGGGAUUUGGGCACAGGGUCACAGGGAUGAGAAGGGAUCCACGUAUGGGGACACACAGGGACCUGUGCACAGGAUGACCAGGGACAAACAGGGACCCGAGUGGGGGUCACAGGGACCUGCACAGGACCAUGGAGUGGCCCAGGGACCUGCACAGGGGGGUCCAGGCAUGGAGCAAUAUGGGCUGGGGUGUGACCACUGCACGUGUUCCCAUGGAGCCACUCACCACCCUGUGGUGGCCUGGAGGGGACACAGGAGUGUCUCCCAGUCUGUGGUGGUGUUGUCCCCUCUCUCAGCCCCUCUCUGUCCCCCAUGCCACGCGAGGAGCCACUGUGUGCCCCGGGGAUGGGGUGGGCUGCUGGAUAACGCAGAGCCGAGCAGGUGGAGCAGAGCACAGAGACGAUCCGGUGCCAGGUGGGUGGGUGCCAGCACCCUGGGGUGCUCUCAGUGUCCCCCCCUCUCUCUGUGUCCCCCGGGUGCUCCGUAGGGAGCCAUGAUCGACCGCAUAGAGAACAACAUGGACCAGUCCGUGGGAUUCGUGGAACGGGCCGUGGCUGACACCAAAAAGGCUGUGAAGUACCAAA